RNAcentral lists this ribosomal RNA (468 nucleotides) under uncultured bacterium. RNAcentral's name for it is "bacterial SSU rRNA". It matches the Rfam family "Bacterial small subunit ribosomal RNA", at positions 28 to 477 of the family's 1533-position model. The record is from RNAcentral.
GACGAACGCUGGCGGAGUGCCUAAUACAUGCAAGUCGAGCGAACCAAUAAGAAGCUUGCUUUUUGUUGGUUAGCGGCGGACGGGUGAGUAACACGUGGGUAACCUGCCUGUAAAACCGGGAUAACUCCGGGAAACCGGUGCUAAUACCGGAUAGAUUAUCUUUCCGCCUGGAGAGAUAAGGAAAGAUGGCUUUUGCCAUCACUUACAGAUGGGCCCGCGGCGCAUUAGCUAGUUGGUGAGGUAACGGCUCACCAAGGCGACGAUGCGUAGCCGACCUGAGAGGGUGAUCGGCCACACUGGGACUGAGACACGGCCCAGACUCCUACGGGAGGCAGCAGUAAGGAAUCUUCCGCAAUGGACGAAAGUCUGACGGAGCAACGCCGCGUGAGCGAAGAAGGUCUUCGGAUCGUAAAGCUCUGUUGUUAGGGAAGAACAAGUAUCGGAGGAAAUGCCGGUACCUUGACGGUA